RNAcentral lists this ribosomal RNA (682 nucleotides) under uncultured bacterium. RNAcentral describes it as "bacterial SSU rRNA". It matches the Rfam family "Bacterial small subunit ribosomal RNA", at positions 44 to 715 of the family's 1533-position model. The record is from RNAcentral.
AUGCUUAACACAUGCAAGUCGAACGGUAACAGAGAUAGCUUGCUAUCUGCUGACGAGCGGCGGACGGGUGAGUAAUGCUUGGGAAUAUGCCUUUGAGUGGGGGACAACAGUUGGAGACGACUGCUAAUACCGCAUAACGUCUACGGACCAAAGGGGGGGACGCUUCGGCACCUCUCGCUCAUAGAUUAGCCCAAGUGAGAUUAGCUAGUUGGUGAGGUAAUGGCUCACCAAGGCGACGAUCUCUAGCUGGUUUGAGAGGAUGAUCAGCCACACUGGAACUGAGACACGGUCCAGACUCCUACGGGAGGCAGCAGUGGGGAAUAUUGCACAAUGGGCGAAAGCCUGAUGCAGCCAUGCCGCGUGUGUGAAGAAGGCCUUCGGGUUGUAAAGCACUUUCAGCGAGGAGGAAAGGUUUGUAGUUAAUAACUGCAAGCUGUGACGUUACUCGCAGAAGAAGCACCGGCUAACUUCGUGCCAGCAGCCGCGGUAAUACGAGGGGUGCAAGCGUUAAUCGGAAUUACUGGGCGUAAAGCGUGCGUAGGCGGUUUGUUAAGCAAGAUGUGAAAGCCCAGGGCUCAACCUUGGAACUGCAUUUUGAACUGGCAAACUAGAGUACUGUAGAGGGUGGUGGAAUUUCCAGUGUAGCGGUGAAAUGCGUAGAGAUCUGAAGGAACACCAGUGG